Parus major (Great Tit) is the source of this 921-nucleotide long non-coding RNA. NCBI's taxonomy places the organism in Eukaryota, Metazoa, Chordata, Aves, Passeriformes, Paridae. The record is from Ensembl.
AAACCUGAGAGAUGUUUUUAUUAUUAAAAGUUGGUUUAUAUUUUAAGGGAAGAAGGUUGAUCUUAUUUUCUGUUCCACCCUUUAGUUCCUUCACCCUGCAUUGUGUUGAGCAGUUUUAAGUACCAAUAUACUUGUAUGGCUUGGGGAGCAGUCGGAAGUUUGAAUGGACACACUUUCUUCAGCUCUCUCACCCACUGGCAGCAGUGAAAGCAGAGAACAGUGUCCUGGCUGGUGUGAAGAGCAGAGUUACCACGACUUUUCCAGUCGUUCUGGAGAAGCCAAACUGCUGCUAAAUGGAGCUGCUUGAGCUGCCAAAGCUCCCUUGGAGCUCUUUAACAACCCCUUCUGGUUGUCGUGAUUCACUAUUUGAAGAAUACUUCUCGUUGCCAAAAUGACUCAUUUUGUAAAAUGUCAAUUAAUGCACUGCAGAGUCUGCAAAAAAAUAGAUCUGUUUUUAAAUGAAUUAUGAUUUAAAUUAGUAAUUAAUCUUUGAAUCAAGUGAUUAUUUUCUUGAUCCUGCUUAAAAUUAAAUUUAGUUAUAAGCACUUUGAAGGCAAUGCAGAAAGAGUCAUUAUUAUUUAAUCAGCUUUAAAUUGCUUACAUAAGUACUUACACGAGUGACAUAUUUUCAUCUUGAGAUAAUUAAAAAUAAUUAGUAUGGCUUUAUCACAGUUUUAAUGUGCAAAAGUCAAAUUCACAUUAUUAGAGGUGCUUGAAUACUGGGGUUUUGGAUGGAAUUUAUCUGCAAAUUAUCACAUGAAAGUUAAUUUUGCUAUCACAUGAAUGCAAAGUUUGCAGAGAGUGAUUUGGCCAGGAUGCAUCAUUCAUCUCUCAUUCCAUGUGAACUCAGUUCUGCUUUAUUUUUCAGGGAGUUUAUUAUAGUUUCUGGAAAUAAUAAACAAUUUUAGAGCUGGUAUAACA